Molecule: ribosomal RNA, 1031 nt
Filed under: Camarosporium sp. MFLUCC 15-0444
Lineage: Eukaryota; Fungi; Ascomycota; Dothideomycetes; Pleosporales
Description: SSU rRNA
Rfam family: Eukaryotic small subunit ribosomal RNA
Source: RNAcentral
AUUAUACCGUGAAACUGCGAAUGGCUCAUUAAAUCAGUUAUCGUUUAUUUGAUAGUACCUUACUACUUGGAUAACCGUGGUAAUUCUAGAGCUAAUACAUGCUGAAAACCCCAACUUCGGGAGGGGUGUAUUUAUUAGAUAAAAAACCAACGCCCNUUCGGGGCUUCUUGGUGAUUCAUGAUAACUUUACGGAUCGCAUGGCCUUGCGCCGGCGACGGUUCAUUCAAAUUUCUGCCCUAUCAACUUUCGAUGGUAAGGUAUUGGCUUACCAUGGUUUCAACGGGUAACGGGGAAUUAGGGUUCGAUUCCGGAGAGGGAGCCUGAGAAACGGCUACCACAUCCAAGGAAGGCAGCAGGCGCGCAAAUUACCCAAUCCCGACACGGGGAGGUAGUGACAAUAAAUACUGAUACAGGGCUCUUUUGGGUCUUGUAAUUGGAAUGAGUACAAUUUAAACCUCUUAACGAGGAACAAUUGGAGGGCAAGUCUGGUGCCAGCAGCCGCGGUAAUUCCAGCUCCAAUAGCGUAUAUUAAAGUUGUUGCAGUUAAAAAGCUCGUAGUUGAAACUUGGGUCUGGCUGGCAGGUCCGCCUCACCGCGUGUACUUGUCCGGCCGGGCCUUCCUUCUGGAGAACCUCAUGCCCUUCACUGGGCGUGUUGGGGACCAGGACUUUUACUUUGAAAAAAUUAGAGUGUUCAAAGCAGGCCUUUGCUCGAAUACGUUAGCAUGGAAUAAUAGAAUAGGACGUGCGGUCCUAUUUUGUUGGUUUCUAGGACCGCCGUAAUGAUUAAUAGGGACAGUCGGGGGCAUCAGUAUUCAAUUGUCAGAGGUGAAAUUCUUGGAUUUAUUGAAGACUAACUACUGCGAAAGCAUUUGCCAAGGAUGUUUUCAUUAAUCAGUGAACGAAAGUUAGGGGAUCGAAGACGAUCAGAUACCGUCGUAGUCUUAACCGUAAACUAUGCCGACUAGGGAUCGGGCGAUGUUCUUUUUCUGACUCGCUCGGCACCUUACGAGAAAUCAAAGUUUUUGGGUU